Molecule: ribosomal RNA, 505 nt
Filed under: uncultured bacterium
Lineage: Bacteria
Description: partial 16S ribosomal RNA
Rfam family: Bacterial small subunit ribosomal RNA
Source: RNAcentral
GACGAACGCUGGCGGCGUGCCUAAUACAUGCAAGUAGAACGCACAGUUUAUACCGUAGCUUGCUACACCAUAGACUGUGAGUUGCGAACGGGUGAGUAACGCGUAGGUAACCUGCCUGGUAGCGGGGGAUAACUAUUGGAAACGAUAGCUAAUACCGCAUAAUAUUGAUUAUUGCAUGAUAAUUAAUUGAAAGGUGCAAUUGCACCACUACCAGAUGGACCUGCGUUGUAUUAGCUAGUAGGUGAGGUAACGGCUCACCUAGGCGACGAUACAUAGCCGACCUGAGAGGGUGAUCGGCCACACUGGGACUGAGACACGGCCCAGACUCCUACGGGAGGCAGCAGUAGGGAAUCUUCGGCAAUGGACGAAAGUCUGACCGAGCAACGCCGCGUGAGUGAAGAAGGUUUUCGGAUCGUAAAUCUCUGUUGUAAGAGAAGAACGGGUGUGAGAGUGGAAAGUUCACACUGUGACGGUAUCUUACCAGAAAGGGACGGCUAACUACGUG